GAAUGAAGAACGCAGCGAAAUGCGAUACUUGGUGUGAAUUGCAGAAUCCCGUGAACCAUCGAGUCUUUGAACGCAAGUUGCGCCCGAAGCCAUUAGGCCGAGGGCACGCCUGCCUGGGCGUCACACGUCGUUGCCCCCCCAUCUACUCCUUCGGGAUUGCGGGGGGCGGAUGAUGGCCUCCCGUGCGCCUCGCCGCGCGGUUGGCAUAAAUGCCAAGUCCUCGGCGACGCACGCCACGACAAUCGGUGGUUGCGAAACCUCGGUUGCCCGUCGUGUGCGGUCGUCGCGCAUCGAGGGCUCGAAAAAAUUGCCGGGUUCCGGCUCGGCUUUCAACGCGACCCCAGGUCAGGCGGGGUUACCCGCUGAAUUUAAGCAUAUCAAUAAGCGGAGGA
This 392-nucleotide unclassified non-coding RNA is filed under the name soil metagenome. Its description in RNAcentral is "partial contains 5.8S ribosomal RNA, internal transcribed spacer 2, and large subunit ribosomal RNA". The stretch from base 3 to 123 matches the Rfam family "5.8S ribosomal RNA", at positions 36 to 154 of the family's 154-position model. The record is from RNAcentral.